CCAAAUUGAAACACUGAUUCUCGGCCAAUCACUGAAGUUAAGCAACGUUGAGCCUUGUCAGUACCAAAAUGAGUGAGUGCUUGGGAAUAGCAGGUGCUGUAAU
This is a non-coding RNA of Acanthosepion pharaonis, 103 nucleotides long. The record is from the annotation of a GenBank genome assembly. Lineage: Eukaryota; Metazoa; Mollusca; Cephalopoda; Sepiida; Sepiidae.